Long non-coding RNA from Hypomesus transpacificus, 833 nucleotides. RefSeq lists it as uncharacterized. Lineage: Eukaryota; Metazoa; Chordata; Actinopteri; Osmeriformes; Osmeridae. The transcript has 2 exons. The record is from RefSeq and is a predicted model, not a curated record.
UGAGGAGGAGGAAGAGGAGAAGAAGGAGGAGAAAGAAGAAGGAGAACGGUCAUCUCUAAUGAGAUUCGGGCAACCAUGGUUGACCAUGUGCUCAACCAUGGUUUGAGCAUGAGGGAGGCUGGCCAGAGGGUCCAACCAAAUCUCAGCCGCUUCACAGUUGCUGCCAUCAUUAGAACCUUUAUAAUGGAGAACAGGACUGAAAGAGAACCACACCGUGGAGGAAGAACAUGCACUUUCACAGCCAAACAGGAGACUGACAUUGUGAAAAUGGUUCGGGAAAAAAACACACUAUCACACUCCAACAGAUACAAACCAGGAUCCUGGCUGACCAUGCCACAUUCAGAAACAUCCAGACUGUCAGCCUCUCUUCACUGGACCGUGUUCUCCGCAGGAAUGCAAUGCGGAUGAAACAAGUGUACAGGUUCCUAUUCGACCGGAACACAGACCACAUCAAGGAGUUACUGCAAGAGUUUGUGUUUGUAAAUCCCAUACAUUCAGCACUGACACAUGCAUGUAUUGUACCUGUAAUCCAAUAUUGUUCUUUUUCUACAGUGUCUCACUGUACCUCACCGUGUUGAACUAUCUGUGUCCAUACUGUAACUUGCAUUAUCAUGCUGUCUGUUCCAGCGGAUCCAGGAGCAUAAUAUAGCUAAUGAGUUAAAUGAAUACAUAUUCAUUGAUGAGGUUGGAUUCAAACUGGUGAAGAGGAGGCGCCGGGGCAGAAAUGUCAUUGUCCAGCGCGCCAUUGUUGAGGUCCCCGCCGAGCGUGGUGGGAACAUCACUUUGUGUGCUGCAAUGGGUUGAGCAGGCCCGUUGACAGUACUGUACUGUUC